AACAAACGUGGUCUGUUGUCCUGGUACCCACGAUAAAUCACGACACUGGCCAUGCGGCAUGCACCUUGUAGUUUUGUCACUGUCCCUUCUGGUUUUUCUGUCUGGAGUUUUGGACAGACAACCAUGAAGCUCAAGAAAAGGUAGCUGAACCAAAUCUUACACGCUCUGAUGCUAUCUGAGCUAGCCCUGAUUGUCGAGCUACACCGAUGAGUUGAGCUGUAGGUUUUGGGAUCUAUAUGAGAAGUCGGCCUGGCUGUGGACCUGCGGUGUACCGUUUCUUAGCUGCUUUAGAGGCUGCAUUAUUAUCGGCUACACUUUCUUGGGUUUUAGCUAGAUCUUAAUUAUUGUUUUCUUCUCUUAUGAAC
This 365-nucleotide long non-coding RNA is filed under the name Populus tremula. Its description in RNAcentral is "long non-coding RNA (PTRE_LNC001326)". Lineage: Eukaryota; Viridiplantae; Streptophyta; Magnoliopsida; Malpighiales; Salicaceae. The record is from RNAcentral.